GGCCAGACUCCUACGGGAGGCAGCAGUGAGGAAUAUUGGUCAAUGGCCGAGAGGCUGAACCAGCCAAGUCGCGUGAGGGAGGACGGCCCUACGGGUUGUAAACCUCUUUUGUCAGGGAGCAAGGGACAGGUCGUGACCUGUUGUGAGAGUGCCUGAAGAAAAAGCAUCGGCUAACUCCGUGCCAGCACCCGCGGUAAUACGUAUGGUGCAAGCGUUAUCCGGAUUUACUGGGUGUAAAGGGAGCGCAGGCGGCACGGCAAGCCUGAUGUGAAAGCCCGCGGCCCAACCGCGGGACUGCAUUGGGAACUACCGGGCUGGAGUGCCGGAGAGGUAGGCGGAAUUCCUAGUGUAGCGGUGAAAUGCGUAGAUAUUAGGAGGAACACCAGUGGCGAAGGCGGCCUACUGGACGGUGACUGACGCUGAGGCUCGAAAGCGUGGGGAGCAAACAGGAUUAGAUACCCCUGUA
RNAcentral lists this ribosomal RNA (466 nucleotides) under uncultured bacterium. RNAcentral's name for it is "bacterial SSU rRNA". It matches the Rfam family "Bacterial small subunit ribosomal RNA", at positions 329 to 792 of the family's 1533-position model. The record is from RNAcentral.